This 253-nucleotide ribosomal RNA is filed under the name uncultured bacterium. Its description in RNAcentral is "partial 16S ribosomal RNA". It matches the Rfam family "Bacterial small subunit ribosomal RNA", at positions 524 to 776 of the family's 1533-position model. The record is from RNAcentral.
UACGUAGGGUGCGAGCGUUAAUCGGAAUUACUGGGCGUAAAGCGUGCGCAGGCGGCUUGCUAAGACAGGUGUGAAAGCCCCGAGCUUAACUUGGGAAUGGCGCUUGUGACUGGCAGGCUGGAGUGUGGCAGAGGGAGGUGGAAUUCCACGUGUAGCAGUGAAAUGCGUAGAGAUGUGGAGGAACACCAAUGGCGAAGGCAGCCUCCUGGGCCAACACUGACGCUCAUGCACGAAAGCGUGGGGAGCAAACAGG